RNAcentral lists this ribosomal RNA (125 nucleotides) under Harpegnathos saltator (Jerdon's jumping ant). The record is from RNAcentral. Lineage: Eukaryota; Metazoa; Arthropoda; Insecta; Hymenoptera; Formicidae.
GUUAACGGUCAUACCACGUUGAAAAUAUCAGUUCUCGUCCGAUCACUGCAAUCAAGCAAUGUUGGGCCGGGUUAAUAUUUGGAUGGGUGACCACUUGAGAACACCAAACCCGUGUGCUGUUGCCA